CCUACGGGAGGCAGCAGUGAGGAAUAUUGGUCAAUGGGCGAGAGCCUGAACCAGCCAAGUCGCGUGAGGGAGUACUGCCCUAUGGGUUGUAAACCUCUUUUGUCGGGGAGCAAAAGCCGGACGUGUCCGGCUGUGAGAGUACCCGAAGAAAAAGCAUCGGCUAACUCCGUGCCAGCAGCCGCGGUAAUACGGAGGAUGCGAGCGUUAUCCGGAUUUAUUGGGUUUAAAGGGUGCGCAGGCGGAGUUUUAAGUAAGCGGUAAAAUCGUGGGGUUCAACCCCAUCCAGCCGUUGAAACUGGGGAUCUAGAGUGUGCGAGAGGUAUGCGGAAUGCGUGGUGUAGCGGUGAAAUGCAUAGAUAUCACGCAGAACCCCGAUUGCGAAGGCAGCAUACCGGUGCACAACUGACGCUCAGGCACGAAAGCGUGGGUAUCGAACAGGAUUAGAUACCCCUGUAGUC
RNAcentral lists this ribosomal RNA (458 nucleotides) under uncultured bacterium. Its description in RNAcentral is "partial 16S ribosomal RNA". It matches the Rfam family "Bacterial small subunit ribosomal RNA", at positions 338 to 795 of the family's 1533-position model. The record is from RNAcentral.